CCCGCGCUCCUCCGGGCAGAGCGCGUGUGGCGGCCGAGCACAUGGGCCCGCGGGCCGGGCGGGCUCGGGGCGGCCGGGACGAGGAGGGGCGACGACGAGCUGCGAGCAAAGAUGUGCCCCGGGACCCCCGGCACCUUCCAGUGGAUUUCCUUGCGGAAAGGAUGUUGGCGGUCCCUGUGACCUGUGGAGACACGGCCAGAUCUGCCCUCCAGCCUGAUCUUUUGGCCAGAAGGAGAUUAAAAAGAUGCCCCUCAAGAUGGCUGUGCCUGUCAGCUGCAUGGAGCUUCGUUCAAGUAUUUUCUGAGCCUGAUGGAUUUACAGUGAUCUUCAGUGGUCUGGGGAAUAACGCUGGUGGAACCAUGCACUGGAAUGACACACGCCCGGCACAUUUCAGGAUACUAAAAGUGGUUUUAAGGGAGGCUGUGGCUGAAUGCCUCAUGGAUUCUUACAGCUUGGAUGUCCAUGGGGGACGAAGGACUGCAGCUGGCUGAGAGGGUUGAGAUCUCUGUUUACUUAGAUCUCUGCCAACUUCCUUUGGGUCUCCCUAUGGAAUGUAAGACCCCGACUCUUCCUGGUGAAGCAUCUGAUGCACGUUCCAUCCGGCGCUCAGCUGGGCUUGAGCUGACCAUACUCCCUGGAGCCUUCUCCCGAGGUGCGCGGGUGACCUUGGCACAUACAGCCAUCAUGAUGGUACUUUAAGUGGAGGCUGAAUCAUCUCCCCUUUGAGCUGCUUGGCACGUGGCUCCCUUGGUGUUCCCCUUUUACUGCCAGGACACUGAGAUUUGGAGAGAGUCUCACUCUGUGGUCCAGGCUGAAGUACAGUGGCAUGAUCCCAGGUCACUGCAACCCCCACCUCCCGGGUUCAAGUGAUCCUCCUGCCUCAGCCUCCCGAGUAGCUGGUAUUACAGGCGUGUGCCACAAAGCCUGGCUAAGUUUUGUAUUUUUAGUAGAGACGGGGUUUCACCAUGUUGGCCAGGUUGGUCUCGAACUCCUGACCUCAAGUGAUCCACUCACUUUGGCCUUUCAACGUGCUGGGAUUACAGGCGAGAGUCACCGCACCCGGACGACUCUGACAUUUUUGAAGAGUCCAGAAUCCUGUUACACCUGGGAUUUAGGCACUUUCAAUCUGAAAAAAUACAUAUCCUUUCAGCACUCUGGACGGACUUGAGAACUGUCCUUACGUGACCUAAAGCUGGAGUAUUUUGAGAUUGGAGAAUUAAGGAUUUUAAAGAACUCCUGGCCCACUCGGAACUCUACGCUUGAAACAGAAACAUCUUCUCAAAACACCUCUGGCUGGAGUACAGUGGAAGGAUCAUGGCCCACUGUAGCCUAGACAUCCCAGGCUGAAAUGAUCCUCUCUCCUCAGCCUCCCAAGUACCUGGGACUACAGGCCAACAGAGAUUUUGAGAAACACAUUGAAGGAUCUGUUAACACUUGAUAUACCCAAUAAAAGCAGUGGUUGUGCCAGUGCUGAUCUGUCUUGAUGUGAAUGUGAACAAUGGGAACCUGAGCUGAGCAGUUAAUGCUAGGGUGACAGAAACUGGACCUCUCCCAAGACAUGUGACAGAGUAAUACAGCAGCCAACUUCUUCGCCAAAUUAAAGUUUUACAAGAUUUAACCUGUCAUCAAGACCUGGGAUUUUGGUGAGCCAGUCUUGGUGCUCUGUGUUCACCUGGUUCAUCUGAGGAGCUGCAUCUACCCUGCCCAUGCCAUAGAUCCUGCCCUGUUUGCUUCUCCUGUUGCUGCUAGUGGACAUGAGAAGGACAGAAUAACGGGCUCCCAGAUUCACAAGCCCCACCAAGAGGAUCACCCCAGGAACGCUUGGAGGCUGAGGAGUUCACUGAGGCUACUGCAUCUUGAGACUCAGGAUGAAGACCCAGCUUGGGGCUGUCAAAGGUUUUUUGCAUGUCUGACACCCAUGACUCCACCUGGACCUUAUGGCUCCACCCAGAAGCAAUUCAGCCCAACAGGAGGACAGCUUCAACCCAUUACGAUUUCAUCUCUGCCCCAACCACUCAGCAGCAAGCACCUGUUACCUGUCCACCCCCACCCCUUCCCCCAAACUGCCUUUGAAAAAUCCCUAACCUAUGAGCUUUGAAUAAGAUGAGUACGAACUUCAUCGCCCACGUGGCGUGGCCGGCCUCGUGUCUAUUAAAUUCUUUUUCUACUACAA
This 2173-nucleotide long non-coding RNA is filed under the name Homo sapiens (human). Its description in RNAcentral is "Pvt1 oncogene, transcript variant 11 (PVT1)". The stretch from base 34 to 211 matches the Rfam family "Pvt1 oncogene conserved region 1". The record is from RNAcentral. Lineage: Eukaryota; Metazoa; Chordata; Mammalia; Primates; Hominidae.